UAUCUCUGUAGAGUCUGCAUAUCAAUAAGCGGAGGAAAAGAAACUAACUAGGAUUCCCUCAGUAACGGCGAGUGAAGCGGGAAGAGGCUCAAAUUUGAAAUCUUCAAGGUUCUACCUUGACGAAUUGUAGUUUAAAGAAGUGUUUUCUGUUGGAGUUUUGGUAAAAGUUCUUUGGAAUAGGACAUCAUAGAGGGUGAGAAUCCCGUAUUUGACCAUUACUUUCCAGCUUUGUGAUACACUUUCAAAGAGUCGGAUUGUUUGGGAAUGCAGUCCAAAAUGGGUGGUAAACUUCAUCUAAAGCUAAAUAUUGGCGAGAGACCGAUAGCGAACAAGUACCGUGAGGGAAAGAUGAAAAGAACUUUGAAAAGAGAGUUAAACAGUACGUGAAAUUGUCAAAAGGGAAGCGUUUGACACCAGUGUUGUUUUCUCGAAAAUCAAUUAAAAAAAGUUGGAUUUUGUGUUGUAUUGACCUUAACAGCUUUCUGCACUCUUUUCCUGCUUUUUUUAAUGCACUUUUCGUUUAACAAGGUCAACAUCAAUUUCUUUUGUUGUAAAAGAGUCAUUGGAAGGUGGCUUUCACUUCGGUGAAAGUGUUUAUAGCCUUUGGCUUCUGCAAUCGGAGAGAUUGAGGUCUGCAGCGUAGAUCCUUCGGGGUUAGAUACAUUUGUGCUAAGUUAUAGCCUUUCAUAGACAACUUGUUGACUAUGAUCAGUCAUGUAGCUUACUCGCUUAUGCUAUUUUACCUACGCUUAGGAUGUUGAUAGUCACAGCGUGUAC
This 777-nucleotide ribosomal RNA is filed under the name uncultured Neocallimastigales. RNAcentral's name for it is "partial large subunit ribosomal RNA". It matches the Rfam family "Eukaryotic large subunit ribosomal RNA", at positions 24 to 627 of the family's 3401-position model. Lineage: Eukaryota; Fungi; Neocallimastigomycota; Neocallimastigomycetes; Neocallimastigales. The record is from RNAcentral.